This 468-nucleotide ribosomal RNA is filed under the name uncultured bacterium. Its description in RNAcentral is "partial 16S ribosomal RNA". It matches the Rfam family "Bacterial small subunit ribosomal RNA", at positions 28 to 507 of the family's 1533-position model. The record is from RNAcentral.
GACGAACGCUGGCGGCGUGCUUAACACAUGCAAGUCGAACGGAAAGGCCCUGCUUUUGUGGGGUGCUCGAGUGGCGAACGGGUGAGUAACACGUGAGUAACCUGCCCUUGACUUUGGGAUAACUUCAGGAAACUGGGGCUAAUACCGGAUAGGAGCUCCUGCUGCAUGGUGGGGGUUGGAAAGUUUCGGCGGUUGGGGAUGGACUCGCGGCUUAUCAGCUUGUUGGUGGGGUAGUGGCUUACCAAGGCUUUGACGGGUAGCCGGCCUGAGAGGGUGACCGGCCACAUUGGGACUGAGAUACGGCCCAGACUCCUACGGGAGGCAGCAGUGGAGAAUAUUGCACAAUGGGCGGAAGCCUGAUGCAGCAACGCCGCGUGCGGGAUGACGGCCUUCGGGUUGUAAACCGCUUUCGCCUGUGACGAAGCGAGAGUGACGGUAAUGGGUAAAGAAGCACCGGCUAACUACGUG